UACGUAGGGCGCAAGCGUUUGUCCGGAAUUAUUGGGCGUAAAGAGCUCGUAGGCGGUCUGUCGCGUCUGCCGUGAAAACCCGAGGCUUAACCUCGGGCUGGCGGUGGAUACGGGCAGACUAGAGGUAGGUAGGGGAGAAUGGAAUUCCCGGUGUAGCGGUGAAAUGCGCAGAUAUCGGGAGGAACACCGGUGGCGAAGGCGGUUCUCUGGGCAUUACCUGACGCUGAGGAGCGAAAGCAUGGGGAGCGAACAGG
RNAcentral lists this ribosomal RNA (254 nucleotides) under uncultured bacterium. Its description in RNAcentral is "partial 16S ribosomal RNA". It matches the Rfam family "Bacterial small subunit ribosomal RNA", at positions 524 to 776 of the family's 1533-position model. The record is from RNAcentral.